GAAGGUAGAGGAAGAGAAGGAGGUAGAGGAAGACACCUAGGUAGAGGAAGAGGUAGAGAAGGACUUGAAGAGUUGAUAGAACCUGAACAAAGAAGACGAGGACCAAAUUUGACUCGAGAAAUCCGUGCAACACUUAUUGACCAUGUUAUCAACCAUGGACUGACACUGAUGGAAGCUGGACAAAGAGUUCAACCAAAUCUCAGCAGAAAUACUGUUGCGUCAGUAAUUCGGACAUUUCAUCGAGAAAACAGGAUUGAGGGUCGAGGACACCAAGGUGGAAGGGGCCCUAUGUUUAGUCGUGCACAAGAGGCCGCCAUUGUGAACAUGGUUUUGGCCAAUAAUUGUAUCAGGCUACGAGAAAUCCAAGCCAAUAUCAUCAAUGAUGACAAUAUUUUCAAUAACAUCCAACGAGUCUCUCUGUCAACAUUAGGUCGAAUCCUAAAGAAAAAUCAAAUAUACAUGAAGCAACUGUAUCGGGUACCAUUUGACAGAAAUUCAGAGAGAGUGAAACAUCUGCGCAAUGAGUAUGUGGAGAGAGUCUUGCAAAUGGAUGCUGCUGAAAUUCAACAUGAAUUUAUAUAUGUGGAUGAGGCUGGAUUUAACCUUGCAAAAACAAGAAGAAGAGGGAGAAAUGUAAUUGGGCACAGGGCAAUCACCAAUGUGCCAGGGCAGC
Molecule: long non-coding RNA, 673 nt
Organism: Coregonus clupeaformis (lake whitefish)
Lineage: Eukaryota; Metazoa; Chordata; Actinopteri; Salmoniformes; Salmonidae
Exons: 3
Source: RefSeq, a predicted model, not a curated record